UACGAAGGGGGCUAGCGUUGCUCGGAAUCACUGGGCGUAAAGGGUGCGUAGGCGGGUCUUUAAGCCAGGGGUGAAAUCCUGGAGCUCAACUCCAGAACUGCCUUUGAUACUGAGGAUCUUGAGUUCGGGAGAGGUGAGUGGAACUGCGAGUGUAGAGGUGAAAUUCGUAGAUAUUCGCAAGAACACCAGUGGCGAAGGCGGCUCACUGGCCCGAUACUGACGCUGAGGCACGAAAGCGUGGGGAGCAAACGGG
Molecule: ribosomal RNA, 253 nt
Filed under: uncultured bacterium
Lineage: Bacteria
Description: partial 16S ribosomal RNA
Rfam family: Bacterial small subunit ribosomal RNA
Source: RNAcentral